This 405-nucleotide long non-coding RNA is filed under the name Mytilus galloprovincialis (Mediterranean mussel). The record is from RNAcentral. Lineage: Eukaryota; Metazoa; Mollusca; Bivalvia; Mytilida; Mytilidae.
ACAGUGCUCUAGCUAGAAUUCAAAAGGGGCAGGGUGCCAGUGGAGGGCAGGGCACUUUUUAUGAUAGGAGAAGGCACUGCUCAUUUUUUUAGUCUACGUCCCUGCAUGUAUCACAAGUUCACAUAUUUUUUUACUGUAUAUAUUGUUAAUAAAGAUGCAUUUAUAAAGUUGUUGUUUUGAUUAUUUAUUCUAUAAAAUUUGCAUAAGAAAAGUCAUUCAUACUAUAUCAUGUUCAUAAUACAUGGCAAUACACAUUCAUACUAUUAACCAAAAGAGGCAAAAUAAACUUACUAUUCUCCCCACCCCCUCUGUUUCCAAAAGAAAGAACAUAAACUAAACAUCUCAUAGUUUACCAUACAUGUACAUGACAGAGUAGUUGUAUUUCAAAAUGUCAUCUAGAGCUUG